Molecule: ribosomal RNA, 497 nt
Filed under: uncultured bacterium
Lineage: Bacteria
Description: partial 16S ribosomal RNA
Rfam family: Bacterial small subunit ribosomal RNA
Source: RNAcentral
GAUGAACGCUGGCGGCGUGCCUAAUACAUGCAAGUCGAGCGAACAGAUGAGGAGCUUGCUCCUCUGACGUUAGCGGCGGACGGGUGAGUAACACGUGGAUAACCUACCUAUAAGACUGGGAUAACUUCGGGAAACCGGAGCUAAUACCGGAUAAUAUAUUCAACCGCAUGGUUCAAUAGUGAAUGACGGUUUUGCUGUCACUUAUAGAUGGAUCCGCGCCGCAUUAGCUAGUUGGUAAGGUAACGGCUUACCAAGGCAACGAUGCGUAGCCGACCUGAGAGGGUGAUCGGCCACACUGGAACUGAGACACGGUCCAGACUCCUACGGGAGGCAGCAGUAGGGAAUCUUCGGCAAUGGGCGAAAGCCUGACGGAGCAACGCCGCGUGAGUGAUGAAGGUCUUCGGAUCGUAAAACUCUGUUAUUAGGGAAGAAAAAAUGUGUAAGUAACUAUGCACGUCUUGACGGUACCUAAUCAGAAAGCAACGGCUAACUACGUG